UUUCUGACUUUCAUCAGACCCCUUUUAUCGGUAACUCUCACCCCUCACCUGAUUAUUAUGCUUGUUUCAUGCUAUAAAUCUUAUGGAAUUUUCCACGCACUGUUUUUCCUAUAGCAUCGUACCUUUUUUUUUUUUUGAAUUUUUAUAGCAUCGUACUUGUAUACUAUAAUAUGGAGUUUUUAUGGUUUUCUUGUUAUUUAUUUGUAGUGAGGAGAAUGUAAUACAUGCUCUGGAAGAAUUUGUGCAAUGAUGGAAUAGAAGAUUUUGAAGGAUCUGAUCUUUCUGUUGCUUUCAUUUCCAUUCAAAAGAAACAGGCAAGUACUAUACUAUUUCUUUGUCUCAUAGAGAAUCUGUUUUAUAAUUUUAUUCAUGUUUCAAGUUGAUUCAUGGUUUACACUUUUAUAUUGAGUUUAUGAUUCUUUUAUUGACCUACCCUCAGAUGUAUUUUACUGAAAAAAAUGUGAUGUUAGCAUGUGUUGAAAUUAGGAGUGGCAAUUUGUUCCACCAAAUUCAUAUCUAUCUAUUUAGACUAAAUUCAGUAUUGGGAUUUCUUACAUAAAAUCUAUUUAGACUAAAUUUAUGAAAAAUAAAUAAUACAUCAUAAUAUAAAUAGAUCGGAUGGACAUCUAUCUAUUAAAUUAUUGUAAUGGAUGGAUCAGAUAAUUUUAUUCCUAGAAUGGAUGUUUUUAAAAAAAUUUAGUGGAUUUUAAUAGACUAAUUGAUUGUUUUGAUCUAUCCAUUAGAAUCCAAAUCUAAAUAUAUAUUAAAUCCAUUAAUUUUGUCACCCCAUUUGAAAUGUUUAAAACUUAUAGCACACCGAAUGAUUAAACUAGUUGAACCAUGAACCGACACUAUCCGACAUUAUCUACGGUUCGAUUGAACCAUAACCAUGACAUGAUGAUCAUAUAAUUGAAUUGUCGAAAUUGAAUUGUCGAGAUAGAAUAGACUUUAAUUUCAUUAAUUUAAUAUGUGUAUUAAUUACAAUUAAUUGAAAUUGUUAGUGUCAUGUCACGUGCAUUCUCAUUAUUAAAGAAAGAGUCUAUAUCAUGAUCGUUCUCCAUAGUUAGGAGAGCAUGUCCACUAAAGAGCCUUAAUUUCAUUGUGUCAUCAUUUACCCAAAGACCAUGAUCGUUUAGCCUAAGAUUUUCUUUGUGUGGUAAGAAUCAUCAUAAAUGAUGUUGGACACUAUAAGAAUCCCCAAUGGACUUUUCAGAUGUACCAACACCAAAUCAUUGCAAAUCCAUCUCUUUGAACAACUACAACUUUCUUUAGCUUCCCAUUUCAAUGUCCAAAACUUUAAUUUGAGCUCAUGUUUCUGUCAAUAUUACACAGAUGUUUCUUGCAAAACGCAAAACUAGAAGAAAAUUAUGCUUGCACUUAGAACCAGCAAUAGUUGUACCUCAAUAAAUUGUAGAGAAUUUGUGGAGGUAUAUUUAUUGCUGGUUGUAUAUGUAAGCAUAAUUUCCUUCUAGUUUGAGCUCAUGUUUGUGUGAACAUUGCACAAAUGUUUCUUGCAAAAGGCAAAACUAAAAGGAAAUUAUGCUUACACUUAGAACCAACAAUAGUUGUGCCUCAACAAAUUGUAGAGAAUUUGUGGAGGUACAACUAUUGUUGGUUGUAGAAGUAAGCAUAAUAUCCUUCUAGUUUGAGCUCAUGUUUGUGUGAACAUUACCCAAAUGUUUCUUGCAAAACGCAAAACUAGAAGGAAAUUAUGCUUACACUUAGAACCAGCAAUAGUUUUACCUCAACAAAUUGUAGAGAAUUUGUGGAGGUACAACUAUUGCUGGUUGUAUAUGUAAGCAAAAUUCUUUCUAGUUUGAGCUCAUGUUUGUGUGAACAUUACACAAAUGUUUCUUGCAAAAGGUAAAUCUAGAACGAAAUUAUGCUUACAUCUACAACCAACAAUAGUUGUACCCACACAUAUUGUAGUAAGAACUUUAACAAGGUUUUCUAUUUAUUUUAGAAAUGUGCUCAACUGUAUAUAUUAUUACGAAUUGCUAGGCUCAUACACUGUCUUCCCUUGGAUUAGAUAUACGCUUGACAUUGUCGAUCCUUGGUUCCAUCUUUAGUAGCAGUUUCUUCAAAUAUUUUAAUACCCAUUUAAUUCAAAGGUCUUGAUAUUGUUCCAUUGCUCAAGAAUGACUCAUAUGGAACAAUAUCUCAAAUGGAAUAAAAUAUUUUAUUAUUUUCACACCCAUUCAACAAUGGACAAGACCUUUGAAUGAAAUGGAUAUUAAAAUAUAUGCCUGAUUGAUAUGAGGAUCGACAACAUCAAAUGUAUAUCGAGGUCACGGGAAAGAAGCAUAUAUAUAUAAGACUAGCAAUCGGUAAUGAUAUUUACUGUUGUGUGCAUUUUCUAAGAAAAAAGGAAAACAUGUUAAAGUUCUUACUCCAAAUUUGUAGAGGUACAAUUGUUGUUGGUUCUAGAUGUAAACAUCAUAAUUCCAUUACUAGAUUCACAUUUUGCAAGAAACAUCUGUGCAACGCUAACACAAACAAGUGCUCAAAUUCAAACUUUCGUACAUUGAAAUGGAAAGCUGAAGAAACUUGAAAUGGUUCAAAGAGUUGGAUUUGAGACAAUUUGGUGUUGGAAAAUGCAGAAAGUAAAUUGGGGAUCAAUACAGUGUUAGUCAUCAAUGAUGAUGUUUCUUUCUGAGCAAAGAGCAUCUAAGGCAAAAUGAGCAAAUGACAAGUCUAAUCUAAUAUGUUUUAAUUGUACUUUGCAGAAUGAGCGAACAUCAGCUUUGGAUUUCUGUUUUGUGGAAUCAAGUGUCAUUUCAUGUCAUUUCGUGUUUUUUGGAAUCAAGUGUCAUUUCGUGUUAAUUGCAAAAUUUAACAUCAGUGGUUAAAACAUGAGACUAAAAACACUUGCAGUUGGCAUAUAGUCUAUAAAAUGCCAAUAAAUUGAAGUAUAUUACUUAUCAUGAUAAACAAUAAGACAAGUUGGAAACCGUUAUUAAUCAAUUUGUAUCUGAUAAACUAUAUGCAACCACCAGUCUUUUGUGUCUUAUGCUUCUACCAUUGAUAUCAAAUUUUGCGGUUAGUAUUAAAUGACAGUUAUGAUCUAUUCUAUAUUUCAAGUUUUCUUGCCUUGCCAUCAAUUGUGAUGUCUUAACAUAAUGUUAUAGGGUUAUCUCGGUAAGGGUUUUUUAGGAGUACGAUUGUCGUUCUAUCAUGGUUUGAGUGGAUUUUAAGUAGAUGAACCAUGACAUUAAAGUAUGUGAAUUUUUCAAUCAAAUUAUGAUUCCAGAAAACUCUGAUUUGCAUAUUAGUUUUACUUAAUUUUACUAGUAAUUUUUCCUAUUUACAUGACUUUUCUUCAGGUUGAUCCUUCUACUCAAGUUUUUAGCUCAAGCAAAUUGGAUACAUGUAGAUACCAUAGGAAUGAAAUAAAAAUCUUUUUUCACUCUUUGA
Molecule: long non-coding RNA, 3414 nt
Filed under: Medicago truncatula (barrel medic)
Lineage: Eukaryota; Viridiplantae; Streptophyta; Magnoliopsida; Fabales; Fabaceae
Description: long non-coding RNA (MTRU_LNC006125)
Source: RNAcentral